UGACAUGUAGCUCAGUUGGUAGAGUCGGCGACUGUUAAUCGUCUGGUCACUGGUUCGAGUCCAGUCAUGUCAG
This 73-nucleotide transfer RNA is filed under the name Prevotella sp. Its description in RNAcentral is "tRNA-Asn". It matches the Rfam family "tRNA". From Rfam's summary of the family: Transfer RNA (tRNA) molecules are approximately 80 nucleotides in length. Their secondary structure includes four short double-helical elements and three loops (D, anti-codon, and T loops). Lineage: Bacteria; Pseudomonadati; Bacteroidota; Bacteroidia; Bacteroidales; Prevotellaceae. The record is from RNAcentral.